RNAcentral lists this ribosomal RNA (253 nucleotides) under uncultured bacterium. Its description in RNAcentral is "partial 16S ribosomal RNA". It matches the Rfam family "Bacterial small subunit ribosomal RNA", at positions 524 to 776 of the family's 1533-position model. The record is from RNAcentral.
UACGAAGGGGGCUAGCGUUGCUCGGAAUUACUGGGCGUAAAGCGCACGUAGGCGGCUUUCUAAGUCGGGGGUGAAAUCCUGGAGCUCAACUCCAGAACUGCCUUUGAUACUGAAGAUCUUGAGUCCGGGAGAGGUGAGUGGAACUGCGAGUGUAGAGGUGAAAUUCGUAGAUAUUCGCAAGAACACCAGUGGCGAAGGCGGCUGUCUGGUCCGGUUCUGACGCUGAGGCGCGAAAGCGUGGGGAGCAAACAGG